GACGAACGCUGGCGGCGUGCCUAAUACAUGCAAGUUGAGCGCUGAAGGUUGGUACUUGUACCAACUGGAUGAGCAGCGAACGGGUGAGUAACGCGUGGGGAAUCUGCCUUUGAGCGGGGGACAACAUUUGGAAACGAAUGCUAAUACCGCAUAAAAACUUUAAACACAAGUUUUAAGUUUGAAAGAUGCAAUUGCAUCACUCAAAGAUGAUCCCGCGUUGUAUUAGCUAGUUGGUGAGGUAAAGGCUCACCAAGGCGAUGAUACAUAGCCGACCUGAGAGGGUGAUCGGCCACAUUGGGACUGAGACACGGCCCAAACUCCUACGGGAGGCAGCAGUAGGGAAUCUUCGGCAAUGGACGAAAGUCUGACCGAGCAACGCCGCGUGAGUGAAGAAGGGUGUCGGAUCGUAAAGCUCUGUUGGUAGAGAAGAACGUUGGUGAGAGUGGAAAGCUCAUCAAGUGACGGUAACUACCCAGAAAGGGACGGCUAACUACGUG
Molecule: ribosomal RNA, 497 nt
Filed under: uncultured bacterium
Lineage: Bacteria
Description: partial 16S ribosomal RNA
Rfam family: Bacterial small subunit ribosomal RNA
Source: RNAcentral